AUUGAACGCUGGCGGAAUGCUUUACACAUGCAAGUCGAACGGCAGCACGGACUUCGGUCUGGUGGCGAGUGGCGAACGGGUGAGUAAUGUAUCGGAACGUGCCCAGUCGUGGGGGAUAACGUAGUGAAAAUUACGCUAAUACCGCAUACGAUCUAUGGAUGAAAGCGGGGGAUCGCAAGACCUCGCGCGAUUGGAGCGGCCGAUAUCAGAUUAGGUAGUUGGUGGGGUAAAGGCCCACCAAGCCAACGAUCUGUAGCUGGUCUGAGAGGACGACCAGCCACACUGGAACUGAGAAACGGUCCAGACUCCUACGGGAGGCAGCAGUGGGGAAUUUUGGACAAUGGGAGAAAGCCUGAUCCAGCCAUUCCGCGUGCAGGAUGAAGGCCCUCGGGUUGUAAACUGCUUUUGUACGGAACGAAAAGGUUUCUACUAAUACUAGGAGCUCAUGACGGUACUGUAAGAAUAAGCACCGGCUAACUACGUGCCAGCCGCCGCCGUAA
RNAcentral lists this ribosomal RNA (500 nucleotides) under uncultured bacterium. Its description in RNAcentral is "partial 16S ribosomal RNA". It matches the Rfam family "Bacterial small subunit ribosomal RNA", at positions 30 to 523 of the family's 1533-position model. The record is from RNAcentral.